GAAACGGUNGCUAAUACCGCAUAACGUCGCAAGACCAAAGCGGGGGACCUUCGGGCCUCGCGCCAUCAGAUGAACCCAGAUGGGAUUAGCUAGUAGGUGGGGUAAUGGCUCACCUAGGCGACGAUCCCUAGCUGGUCUGAGAGGAUGACCAGCCACACUGGAACUGAGACACGGUCCAGACUCCUACGGGAGGCAGCAGUGGGGAAUAUUGCACAAUGGGGGAAACCCUGAUGCAGCCAUGCCGCGUGUAUGAAGAAGGCCUUCGGGUUGUAAAGUACUUUCAGCGAGGAGGAAGGCGGUAAGGUUAAUAACCUUACCGAUUGACGUUACUCGCAGAAGAAGCACCGGCUAACUCCGUGCCAGCAGCCGCGGUAAUACG
RNAcentral lists this ribosomal RNA (379 nucleotides) under marine bacterium SIMO-4463. Its description in RNAcentral is "bacterial SSU rRNA". It matches the Rfam family "Bacterial small subunit ribosomal RNA", at positions 153 to 527 of the family's 1533-position model. The record is from RNAcentral.